GGGGGGGUCGGGGGUGAGCAAUGGGGUCCCAGGGCUGUGGGGUCCUGCUGCUGCAGCCGCUCUGUGGGGCAGGGAUGAGGGGGUCACAGGUCAUGGGGUCACAGGUCAGGGGUCGUAGGUCAUGGGGUCACUGGGUGAGCAGUGGGGUCCCAGGGCUGCGCAGUCCUGCUGCUGCAGCUGCUCUGUGGGGUCAGAGGUCACGGGGUCAUAGGUCACAGGGUGAGCACAGGGGUGCCAGGGCUGUGGGGUCCUGCUGCUGCAGCCGCUCUAUGGGGCAGGGGUCAGGGGUCAUGGGGUCAGAGGUCACAGGGUGAGCACAGGGGUCCCAGGGUUAUGCGGUCCUGCUGCUGCAGCCGCUCUAUGGGGUCAGAGGUCAGGGGUCAUGGGGUCAGGGGGGCACGGGGUGAGCAGUGGGGUCACAGGGUCAUGGGGAUGUGGGGUGAGGGUGCCAGGGCUGUGGGGUCCCGCUGCUGCAGCCGCUCUAUGGGGCAGGGGUGAAGGGUCAGGGGUCAUGGGGUGAGCAGUGGGGUCACAGAGACGUGGGGUGAUGGGAACGCAGUGAGGGAUAUGGGCUGUGGGGUGGGGUCACGGGGUCAGGAGGUCAUGGGGUCACGGGGUCAGGAGGUCACGGGGUCAGGAGGUCGCGGGGUCGCGGGCGCCCACCCCUCAGUUUGCGCAGUGACGCCUCCACCUCCGUCUCAAUCAGCGGGAAGUCCUGCCGGCUGGGGCACCUGCGGGCACCCCAUAGCGCCCCAUAGCACCCCAUAGCGCCCCAUAGUGCCCCACAGUGCCCCAUAGCACCCCACAGAGCCCCACAGUGCCCCACAGCACCCUAUAGCGCCCCACAGCACCCCAUAGCGCCCCACAGUGCCCCAUAGCAUCCCACA
RNAcentral lists this long non-coding RNA (887 nucleotides) under Gallus gallus (chicken). RNAcentral describes it as "lncRNA (ENSGALG00010028810.1)". The record is from RNAcentral. Lineage: Eukaryota; Metazoa; Chordata; Aves; Galliformes; Phasianidae.